UACGUAGGGUGCGAGCGUUGUCCGGAAUUACUGGGCGUAAAGCGUGCGCAGGCGGUUAUGUAAGACAGAUGUGAAAUGCCCGGGCUUAACCUGGGAACUGCAUUUGUGACUGCAUGGCUAGAGUUUGGCAGAGGGGGGUAGAAUUCCACGUGUAGCAGUGAAAUGCGUAGAUAUCGGGAGGAACACCUGUGGCGAAGGCGGCCCCCUGGUUGGAUACUGACGCUGAUACGCGAAAGCGUGGGGAGCAAACAGG
RNAcentral lists this ribosomal RNA (253 nucleotides) under uncultured bacterium. RNAcentral's name for it is "partial 16S ribosomal RNA". It matches the Rfam family "Bacterial small subunit ribosomal RNA", at positions 524 to 776 of the family's 1533-position model. The record is from RNAcentral.